AGACCCGAAACCCGGUGAUCUAGCCAUGGGCAGGUUGAAGGUUGGGUAACACUAACUGGAGGACCGAACCGACUAAUGUUGAAAAAUUAGCGGAUGACUUGUGGCUGGGGGUGAAAGGCCAAUCAAACCGGGAGAUAGCUGGUUCUCCCCGAAAGCUAUUUAGGUAGCGCCUCGUGAAUUCAUCUCCGGGGGUAGAGCACUGUUUCGGCAAGGGGGUCAUCCCGACUUACCAACCCGAUGCAAACUGCGAAUACCGGAGAAUGUUAUCACGGGAGACACACGGCGGGUGCUAACGUCCGUCGUGAAGAGGGAAACAACCCAGACCGCCAGCUAAGGUCCCAAAGUCAUGGUUAAGUGGGAAACGAUGUGGGAAGGCCCAGACAGCCAGGAUGUUGGCUUAGAAGCAGCCAUCAUUUAAAGAAAGCGUAAUAGCUCACUGGUCGAGUCGGCCUGCGCGGAAGAUGUAACGGGGCUAAACCAUGCACCGAAGCUGCGGCAGCGACACUGUGUGUUGUUGGGUAGGGGAGCGUUCUGUAAGCCUGUGAAGGUGUGCUGUGAGGCAUGCUGGAGGUAUCAGAAGUGCGAAUGCUGACAUAAGUAACGAUAAAGCGGGUGAAAAGCCCGCUCGCCGGAAGACCAAGGGUUCCUGUCCAACGUUAAUCGGGGCAGGGUGAGUCGACCCCUAAGGCGAGGCCGAAAGGCGUAGUCGAUGGGAAACAGGUUAAUAUUCCUGUACUUGGUGUUACUGCGAAGGGGGGACGGAGAAGGCUAUGUUGGCCGGGCAACGGUUGUCCCGGUUUAAGCGUGUAGGCUGGUUUUCCAGGCAAAUCCGGAAAAUCAAGGCUGAGGCGUGAUGACGAGGCACUACGGUGCUGAAGCAACAAAUGCCCUGCUUCCAGGAAAAGCCUCUAAGCAUCAGGUAACAUCAAAUCGUACCCCAAACCGACACAGGUGGUCAGGUAGAGAAUACCAAGGCG
Molecule: ribosomal RNA, 977 nt
Filed under: Escherichia coli
Lineage: Bacteria; Pseudomonadati; Pseudomonadota; Gammaproteobacteria; Enterobacterales; Enterobacteriaceae
Description: partial 23S ribosomal RNA
Rfam family: Bacterial large subunit ribosomal RNA
Source: RNAcentral